This 440-nucleotide ribosomal RNA is filed under the name uncultured bacterium. RNAcentral's name for it is "partial 16S ribosomal RNA". It matches the Rfam family "Bacterial small subunit ribosomal RNA", at positions 338 to 795 of the family's 1533-position model. The record is from RNAcentral.
CCUACGGGGAGCAGCAGUGGGGAAUAUUGCACAAUGGGGGAAACCCUGAUGCAGCGACGCCGCGUGAGUGAAGAAGUAUUUCGGUACGUAAAGCUCUAUCAGCAGGGAAGAAAAUGACGGUACCUGACUAAGAAGCCCCGGCUAACUACGUGCCAGCAGCCGCGGUAAUACGUAGGUGGCAAGCGUUAUCCGGAUUUACUGGGUGUAAAGGGAGCGUAGACGGCAGCGCAAGUCUGGAGUGAAAUCCCAUGGCUUAACCAUGGAACUGCUUUGGAAACUGUGCAGCUAGAGUGCAGGAGAGGUAAGCGGAAUUCCUAGUGUAGCGGUGAAAUGCGUAGAUAUUAGGAGGAACACCAGUGGCGAAGGCGGCUUACUGGACUGUAACUGACGUUGAGGCUCGAAAGCGUGGGGAGCAAACAGGAUUAGAUACCCGAGUAGUC